UACGUAGGUGGCGAGCGUUGUCCGGAUUUACUGGGCGUAAAGGGAGCGUAGGCGGACUUUUAAGUGAGAUGUGAAAUACCCAGGCUUAACUUGGGUGCUGCAUUUCAAACUGGAAGUCUAGAGUGCAGGAGAGGAGAAUGGAAUUCCUAGUGUAGCGGUGAAAUGCGUAGAGAUUAGGAAGAACACCAGUGGCGAAGGCGAUUCUCUGGACUGUAACUGACGCUGAGGCUCGAAAGCGUGGGGAGCAAACAGGAUUAGAUACCCCCGUAGU
Molecule: ribosomal RNA, 271 nt
Filed under: uncultured prokaryote
Description: partial 16S ribosomal RNA
Rfam family: Bacterial small subunit ribosomal RNA
Source: RNAcentral